This 496-nucleotide unclassified non-coding RNA is filed under the name uncultured Glomeromycotina. Its description in RNAcentral is "SSU rRNA". It matches the Rfam family "Eukaryotic small subunit ribosomal RNA", at positions 591 to 1092 of the family's 1831-position model. The record is from RNAcentral. Lineage: Eukaryota; Fungi; Glomeromycota.
CCAAUAGCGUAUAUUAAAGUUGUUGCAGUUAAAAAGCUCGUAGUUGAAUUUCGGAAUCAGUAUGUUGGUCGUGCUUCGGUACGUACUGUCAUUACUGGUUUCUACCUUCUGAAGAACCUUGAUGUCAUUAAUUUGGUGUCUUGGGGAAUCAGGACUGUUACUUUGAAAAAAUUAGAGUGUUUAAAGCAAGCAUACGCUUGAAUACAUUAGCAUGGAAUAAUGAAAUAGGACGUUUGAUUCUAUUUUGUUGGUUUCUAGGAUCGACGUAAUGAUUAAUAGGGAUAGUUGGGGGCAUUAGUAUUCAAUUGUCAGAGGUGAAAUUCUUGGAUUUAUUGAAGACUAACUACUGCGAAAGCAUUUGCCAAGGAUGUUUUCAUUAAUCAAGAACGAAAGUUAGGGGAUCGAAGACGAUCAGAUACCGUCGUAGUCUUAACCAUAAACUAUGCGACUAGGGAUCGGAUGAUGUUAUUUUUAAUGACUCAUUCGGCGCCUUACG